RNAcentral lists this long non-coding RNA (624 nucleotides) under Cyanistes caeruleus (blue tit). RNAcentral describes it as "lncRNA (ENSCCEG00000003808.1)". The record is from RNAcentral. Lineage: Eukaryota; Metazoa; Chordata; Aves; Passeriformes; Paridae.
GCCUGUCUUACUAAACUCCUUCUCAUUUCCAUGAAAAUAUGAUGGAGGACAAGAUGCUGAGUGGUUUUGAUCUGGAACAAUGAAUAUCCUUUAUUCUAACCUGGGAAUUUAGCUCAGGAACAGGAACUUUAGGGCUGCAAUCAGGAUUCCAAAGGCAUUCAAGUGCACAGUUAGUUUCUGUUACUCAACACUGUUCCAUAUCAGUGUUUUAUUUUCUUUAUUUCAUCUUGGCUUUGUUUUGGUUUAUCCGAUUUAAUUUCUCCAAAAGAAAAUAAGCCCCAAACCUCCCAGUUAAUGCAUUGAGUUGACAUUAUCUUAUUGGAAAUGACAGUCUGACCACUCAAUAGCCCCAAGCCCUGGCAGAACCCUCAAAUCCUGGACAUCUCAGUGGGAGCAGGAAAAAGAACAUUUAAAAAAUAACUUCAUUUAAGAAAUGAAAUGAAGAAUUCUUUAAGAAGAGGUGAUCCCUUAAAAGUGGAGAGGAGCUCUCUUGUUUUAGUCCAACCAUCAGAAGAAAAGGGAUUAAAGCCACCACACAGCAUCAGAUCUGUCUCUGAUACAAACAUCCAUUUCAUGGGAGAUAGAGCCAAAGACUGGACUCCGAGCUUACAGUUUUCUCAAUAG